UACAUGGGGUGCAAACGUUGCUCGGAAUUAUUGGGCGUAAAGCGCGCGUAGGCGGUUACUUAAGUCGGAUGUGAAAGCCCUCGGCUUAACUGAGGAAGUGCACCCGAAACUGAGUAGCUAGAGUACUAAAGAGGGUCGCGGAAUUCCCGGUGUAGAGGUGAAAUUCGUAGAUAUCGGGAGGAACACCGGUGGCGAAGGCGGCGACCUGGGUAGAGACUGACGCUGAGACGCGAAAGCGUGGGGAGCGAACCGG
RNAcentral lists this ribosomal RNA (253 nucleotides) under uncultured bacterium. RNAcentral describes it as "partial 16S ribosomal RNA". It matches the Rfam family "Bacterial small subunit ribosomal RNA", at positions 524 to 776 of the family's 1533-position model. The record is from RNAcentral.